RNAcentral lists this ribosomal RNA (477 nucleotides) under uncultured Bacteroidota bacterium. Its description in RNAcentral is "bacterial SSU rRNA". It matches the Rfam family "Bacterial small subunit ribosomal RNA", at positions 28 to 505 of the family's 1533-position model. The record is from RNAcentral. Lineage: Bacteria; Pseudomonadati; Bacteroidota.
GACGAACGCUAGCGGCAGGCCUAAUACAUGCAAGUCGAACGGUAAGGUCUCUUCGGAGAUACACGAGUGGCGCACGGGUGCGUAACACGUAUGCAACCUACCUAUCAGAGAGGGAUAGUCGCGGGAAACUGCGAAUAAUAUCUCAUAUGCUUACGGAUUGGCAUCGAUCUGUGAGGAAAGCUCCGGCGCUGAUAGAUGGGCAUGCGUCCCAUUAGCUAGUUGGUAAGGUAACGGCUUACCAAGGCUUCGAUGGGUAGCUGGUCUGAGAGGAUGAUCAGCCACACGGGCACUGAGACACGGGCCCGACUCCUACGGGAGGCAGCAGUAAGGAAUAUUGGACAAUGGGGGCAACCCUGAUCCAGCCAUGCCGCGUGGAGGAAGACGGUUCUCUGAAUUGUAAACUCCUUUUAUGUAGGGAUAAUAAUGUUCUAUAGGGACAGAUGCAGGUACUACAUGAAUAAGCACCGGCUAACUACG